Non-coding RNA from Morus notabilis, 93 nucleotides. NCBI's taxonomy places the organism in Eukaryota, Viridiplantae, Streptophyta, Magnoliopsida, Rosales, Moraceae. The record is from Rfam.
UGUCGGCUAUGAUGAUUUAAUCACAGCUUUAAAUGCCAGUUCUGCUUCAGAAAAUUCUUGAUUGAUAGAGCUGUUUAAUAGUCUGAGCCUUCA